CACAAAUCAGGUUUUCUAUGAUAUAAAGAUUUUAGAUAUCUGGAUGGGAAAGUUUGUCACUUAUGGAGGAGGAAAUGAAGUUUUUAUUCUGGUUUUAGGCUCAGGACAGAAAUCCAGACUUGAUGUUCAUUUAUUUCAGUCUUUAUCAGGAAAAUAAUGCAUUAAAAUUUCAUCAGAAGCCUGAAACACCCCAGGAUUCUGUGUAUUGUAUUGUGGGCUUUAUGGCCCUUAUUGUUGUUCCAUCAGGUCUCCCUAGCAAGAAAGCAACACCAGAAGGAGGUGGAGAACAUCGCUCAGCUGGAGCAGGAGAAGUUUAACCUGACAGAGCAGGUGGAGCAUCUAAGAGACACGGUGAAGGGCAUGGGAUACGUAAUCCUUGACCUGAACAUGGAGUUUGCUAAUCUAAUGAAAGCACAUGAGCGAGAGCAGGACGCUCCCAGGAUCCUCCAAGUGAAGAACGACAAGCUGAAGAAGACCCUGAAUCAUGAGGAGGAGAUACUGAAGGUCUCCUUGGCUGAAGCUGAGGAGCAACACCAGAGGGAUGAGGAGACCAUUGAUUAAAAUUCUAUUUUCAAGUUGCAAGAUUCAAUCUGCAGCUCAUUGCAGAUGUGAAGGUUAAGCUCUUGAGUGUGAACCUCUUUUUCUCCAGGAUUGUGUACGAGACUGGGAGGACCAACUGAAGGUAAAUUUUCUUCUCAAGAAGCUAGGACUGCUUUUGUGAACUGAUAAAUAACUUGCAGGAAGACAAUCAGAAAUCCAUCAGCUUAGAUCCUCCGUAAGGGAGUCAGUUUUUAAAUGAGUCUGAAUGUGUGUGUAGAAGUAAAUGAAUUCAUUGAGCCUUAAUUGUUGUCUUUUGAGGUCUCUGUGGCUAAAGGUGAGAAGAAACACCGUAAGGCUAGGAAGACUAUCAGCAACUGUAUAGGAUAUUUUUAAAAGUUUCUUGUCAGUAGCUGUGAUUUCCCUCAUCUCAUUUUGGGAGUGUGUCAACUCAAAAAAUGCCCUGGGCUUGUCACGGUAUUGGGGAUGAGUUGUCUUAUUAGUUUGGACGGCCUCAUGCAUUCGUUAGCUAGGACUUUGGCGCAGAUAAUGCACUGUGGCUGGGGCAGGGAGAAAAUGAAAUAAAACCAUAGUUCAGGUAACUAUCUUGGUAUUUCCUGCAUUUCGUGUUUCCAGUAUUGCUAGCAUUGCAACCCAAAUUGGUGGGAGCUUCCUCAUCUGGGUCCAGUAUGCCAGGGUCAUUACUAUCAGCUGCUGUAGGCGAAUCAGUGGGACUCUGUCGUUUUUGUGGAGGACGAAUUACAAAUUUGUCCAUUUUUUGGUCAGCCAGGGGAUCAUGGAUAAAAUGAGCUAAUGCAAUAUGAUUGUUCUCCUUAAUGCUAACUGUCCAACACUUUUCAAAAUAUGACGCGACCCCCCACAGAGCUCACUGAGGCCCCCUUGUGGGCUGGGACCCCCCUGUUGGGAACCGCUGAUCUAGACAAUUUAGAUAUUUCAGCUGGUUUUGAUGAGAUAUAUAACUGGGUAUCAUCAGCAUAACAAUGGAAACUAAUCCCAUGUUUUCUAUUGAUGUUACCCAAGGGAAGCAUGUAUAUUGAGAACAGCAGAGGUUCUAAAGCUGGAUGUAAUAAAUGAGGAUAUGAUGCUAGUGGGUGCAAGUGUUGAGGAUGUGGAAGAUAGGGAUAGGUGGAGAGAGAUGAUUCGCUGUGGUGACCCCUGAAGAGAAAAACCAAAAGAAGAAGAGGUCCUAAAACUGACCCUUGUGUGAACCUGUAUUUCACUGGCAAUACACUGGACAGUUCUCCAUUUAAAUCUACAAAAUGGUAUCGAUCAGACAGGUAGGAUCUAAACCAUUUUAAUGGCUGUCCAUGAAUACCUGUGUGACUUUGUAAACGAUCUACAAGAAUAUUAUGAUCUGUAGUGUUGAAUGCCGGACUAAGAUCAAGUAAGACUAAUACUGAGAUGCAGCCUUGGUCCGAAGCUAAAAACAAGUCAUUUGUGAUUUUAACUAGCACAGUUUCUGUACUAUGAUGGGGCCUGAAACCUGACUGAAAUUCUUUAAAGAUAUUGUUUUCCUGUAAGAAGGAGCAUACUUGAGCUCACACCACCUUUUCUAAUAUUUUCGAUAUACACCGAAGGAUUGAAACCGGUCUGUAAUUUGUUAUUUCAUUAGGGUCUAAUUUAGGUUUUUUCAAGAAGAGGCUUAAUGACUGGCAACUUGGGAGGUUUAGGGACGUUAUCUAAAUAUAGAGAGGAAUUAAUAAUGUUUAGAAGCGGCUCUCCAGAUGUAUGUAUCACUUCUUUUAGUAAUCUAGUUGGAAUUGGAUCUAACAAGCACGAUGUUGAUUGCAGCAUUGUAGCUCUAGAUGUGGCGCUUUAGGCUGGACUGGAUCACGGGAUGCUGUCAUGCUGAACAUCCAUUAUUUUGUUCCUGAUACUAUCAGUUUUUUCAGUGAAGAAAUUCAUAAAGUCCUCACUACUAAACUGUGAUGAAACUCUCUCUCCAGAUAUCUGAGGUUUUGUUAGUCUAGCCACUGUACUAAAUAAGAAUCUGGGAUUGUUCUGGUUUAUUGCUAUCAGUUUGCUCAGAUGCUCAGCCCUAGCAGCUUUUAGAGCCUGUCUAUAGCUGGACAAACUGUCUUUAUAUGCAAUUCUAAAAAUCUAGUUUUUCUCCACUUUCGCUCGAGGCGUGAGUAUGACUAUUGUACCAUGGUGCAGGUGUUUUAUCUCUGACCUUUUUUAAUCAGAUGGGGGCAACAGUGUCUAGUGUUAUAUAAAAACUCUAGUAUUAUGGUCUCUCUCUCACUUUAUCUCUCUCUCUCUCCCUUUCUGUUGAAUUGUAAUGUAAGGUCUCACUGCAUGUAGUUUUGAUUAUUGAACAUAUUUAGCUCCUGUCAUGAAAAGCUUUUUGUCCAUGUUCUGU
Long non-coding RNA from Hemibagrus wyckioides, 2920 nucleotides. RefSeq lists it as uncharacterized. The record is from RefSeq and is a predicted model, not a curated record. Lineage: Eukaryota; Metazoa; Chordata; Actinopteri; Siluriformes; Bagridae. The transcript is spliced from 3 exons.